UUAUCUCCUCCAGCAAGAUGUUUCUUCUUCAUUCUUGAAGCUUCCAACGCCAUUCUCUCAUUUUCCCAUGGAAACUUAAUUUUUUUUCAUUUUCUUUCCUUGUUUUCUUUCCAUUUCCUUUCUCUUCUUGCUUCUUUCCUCUCCCAACUCCUUGUGCACCAAGUUACAACUUCUAACCCCAAUUUUCAGCACACCUAAACCCUAGGAGGAGAAGAAAGAAAAAGAGAGAAAGGAAGAAAAAAGCUUGGUUUUGGUGAUUUAAGUAAGGAACGGUAAGAAUUCUUGUUUUUGGCUUGAGUAGUUUUUGAAAAUGAGUUAGUGACUUAGAGAAAUGUCUUGUGGCAGCAAAGAUUGGCUUGAUUGGAGAAAAAUUGGUAACAUGUAAGCCAAUAAACCCAUGGGUACAUGAAGGACUCAAAGUGGAAAAGGAAA
This 432-nucleotide long non-coding RNA is filed under the name Theobroma cacao (cacao). Its description in RNAcentral is "long non-coding RNA (TCAC_LNC001884)". Lineage: Eukaryota; Viridiplantae; Streptophyta; Magnoliopsida; Malvales; Malvaceae. The record is from RNAcentral.